Molecule: unclassified non-coding RNA, 171 nt
Filed under: soil metagenome
Description: partial internal transcribed spacer 1
Source: RNAcentral
CAGAGUUGCAAAACUCCCUAAACCAUUGUGAACGUUACCUAAACCGUUGCUUCGGCGGGCGGCCCCGGGGUUCUCCCCGGGCGCCCUGAGCCCCAUCGCGGGCGCCCGCCGGAGGUCACCAAACUCUUGAUAAUUUAUGGCCUCUCUGAGUCUUCUGUACUGAAUAAGUCA